This 434-nucleotide ribosomal RNA is filed under the name uncultured bacterium. RNAcentral's name for it is "partial 16S ribosomal RNA". It matches the Rfam family "Bacterial small subunit ribosomal RNA", at positions 29 to 507 of the family's 1533-position model. The record is from RNAcentral.
ACGAACGCUGGCGGCAGGCUUAACCCAUGCAAGUCGAACGCGUGCAGCAAUGCACGAGUGGCGCACGGGUGAGUAACGCGUGGAUAUCUGCCUUUUGGUUCGGAAUAACCCCGGGAAACUGGGGCUAAUACCGGAUGGUUCCUACGGGAUAAAGAUUUAUCGCCAAAAGAUGAGUCCGCGUCCGAUUAGCUAGUUGGUGAGGUAAUGGCUCACCAAGGCGACGAUCGGUAGCUGGUCUGAGAGGACGAUCAGCCACACUGGGACUGAGACACGGCCCAGACUCCUACGGGAGGCAGCAGUGGGGAAUAUUGGACAAUGGGGGCAACCCUGAUCCAGCCAUGCCGCGUGAGUGAUGAAGGCCUUCGGGUUGUAAAGCUCUUUUGGCGGGGACGAUGAUGACGGUACCCGCAGAAUAAGCCCCGGCUAACUUCGUG